GACAGAGGGUGCAAACGUUGUUCGGAAUUACUGGGCGUAAAGCGCGUGUAGGCGGCCCUGCAAGUCGGAUGUGAAAGCCCACGGCUCAACCGUGGAAGUGCGUUCGAAACUGCAGGGCUAGAGUCCUGGAGAGGAAGGUGGAAUGCUUGGUGUAGAGGUGAAAUUCGUAGAUAUCAAGCGGAACACCGGUGGCGAAGGCAGCAGACUGGGCCUUACCUGACGCUGAGGAGCGAAAGCGUGGGUAGCGAACAGG
RNAcentral lists this ribosomal RNA (253 nucleotides) under uncultured bacterium. RNAcentral's name for it is "partial 16S ribosomal RNA". It matches the Rfam family "Bacterial small subunit ribosomal RNA", at positions 524 to 776 of the family's 1533-position model. The record is from RNAcentral.